RNAcentral lists this ribosomal RNA (433 nucleotides) under uncultured bacterium. Its description in RNAcentral is "bacterial SSU rRNA". It matches the Rfam family "Bacterial small subunit ribosomal RNA", at positions 67 to 496 of the family's 1533-position model. The record is from RNAcentral.
GGUAACAGGGGGUGCUUGCACUCCGCUGACGACCGGCGCACGGGUGCGUAACGCGUAUACAAUCUGCCUUAUACUGGGGUAUAGCCUUUAGAAAUGAAGAUUAAUCCCCCAUAGUCUCUAGAUGUGGCAUCACAAUUAGAGUAAAGGUUACGGUAUAAGAUGAGUAUGCGUUCUAUUAGUUUGUUGGUGAGGUAAUGGCUCACCAAGACUACGAUAGAUAGGGGCCCUGAGAGGGGGAUCCCCCACACUGGUACUGAGACACGGACCAGACUCCUACGGGAGGCAGCAGUGAGGAAUAUUGGACAAUGGAGGCAACUCUGAUCCAGCCAUGCCGCGUGCAGGAAGACUGCCCUAUGGGUUGUAAACUGCUUUUAUAUAGGAAGAAACCUUGGUACGUGUACCAAGCUGACGGUACUAUAAGAAUAAGGAUCGG